This 446-nucleotide ribosomal RNA is filed under the name uncultured bacterium. RNAcentral's name for it is "partial 16S ribosomal RNA". It matches the Rfam family "Bacterial small subunit ribosomal RNA", at positions 338 to 795 of the family's 1533-position model. The record is from RNAcentral.
CCUACGGGUGGCAGCAGUCGAGAAUCAUUCACAAUGGGGGAAACCCUGAUGGCGCGACGCCGCGUGGGGGAAUGAAGGUCUUCGGAUUGUAAACCCCUGUCAUGUGGGAGCAAAUUAACAAGAUAGUACCACAAGAGGAAGAGACGGCUAACUCUGUGCCAGCAGCCGCGGUAAUACAGAGGUCUCAAGCGUUGUUCGGAAUCACUGGGCGUAAGGCGUGCGUAGGCUGUUUCGUAAGUCGUGUGUGAAAGGCGCGGGCUCAACCCGCGGACGGCACAUGAUACUGCGAGACUAGAGUAAUGGAGGGGGAACCGGAAUUCUCGGUGUAGCCGUGAAAUGCGUAGAUAUCGAGAGGAACACUCGUGGCGAAGGCGGGUUCCUGGACAUUAACUGACGCUGAGGCACGAAGGCCAGGGGAGCGAAAGGGAUUAGAUACCCUUGUAGUC